GAAUUAAUAUUACUGUGUUCUCAACAUUGCCAUUUGUUUGCACAUUUUAGAGAUAAUAAUGGAUUUAUAAACAAUUCAUAAAUUUUUGGUUGCAUUAUAUUGUUUAUAAGAUACCUGUUUUCGCAAUUCAUUAAAUUGUUUAAAAACUACUUGACGUGUACAAAGUGUUUUUAAUACUCAAUCCUUCAACAAAUUUCUUUGGCUUGCGAGAAAAACCUGCUUGCAAAUUCGAAUACGAUAAUUUUUUCGCAAUGGCUUGGGUUCCAACUACUGACUUUGAAAAGGAAAUUGUUGAUUCCCAACCGGAUCUUGACUUUAUUUUUGGUCGACUUUCGGAGACAACUCAACAACCAUUUUAUCCACGUCCUAAAGAACAUUUGGAUUUUAUAGCAAAACAGAAAGAAUUGAAAAGCAAUAUCGAAAAGAAAUUACCAAGUACUCAAAAUCAUACAUUGAAUAUUAUUUCAAGAGUGCAGCGUAUUGCUGGCACUAAACCUCUGGGUGAACAGCCAACAAUCGAUGAUUGGAAUGAUAACGAGAACUUGGAGCGUGAAACCAUUGCGCUGAUGAGACAUGUUGGUUUAGGACCAAGUAUUGAACAUCCACUUGACGAAGCUUGUACAAUAGCAACACAUCCCAUUAAAGAAGAAAUUAAAAUUAAUCGUAAUGGUCGCAAACAAAUGCCAAUAUUUUUUGAUGAUAAAUUUUUUGAAUUAAAACCACGUGUUGCGAGUUCAGCAUCAUCGUCUGAUAAUAAUAGUCUAAUUUUGGAGACUGAGCCUGCAAUAAAUGAUGAUUCGAACAGUAUAUCGAUGAGGAGCAGUAGCAUUGCCAAAUCCAGCGAUUUAUUGCAGGAACAAUGCACUGAUAGUGGGAAUAGUGGUUUUGAAAGUGCUGUAGACUUUGCCAGAGAAGAACAAAGUUUCGAAACAGCUUACAAUAGUAGUAAUAAUCGAAGUAGAUCGUGUGGCAAUCGAGAAGAUAAUAAAAAGAAAAAUAUACAAAAUUGGCGCAGCGAUAGCAACGAUAGCAACGAUUUUAUUGAAACGCAAUCAUGGAGAAAUAGUUCAAAAGCACACAAAAGAAGUGAGAUGUUUAAGCUAACUGACAAUAGUGAUUAUAAUUGGCGUUCAAAUGCUUCAAAUGCUGCGUAUUUUGAAGGUAAUACUCCUGCAAACAUACCACAGAUGUGUACUCCCAAAGAAUUGUAUCAGCGGAAGCGUCAAACGUGAUAAAUAUAGUCAUUUAUUAAGGAGAAUACGUGUGCAAAUAUCUGAAAUGUUUUUAAACUGUUUUCAUCUACUUUUACAGUGGCGAGUUAAUCUCAAGUUACAUUUUUACGUAGUCAUUCAGCAGUUAACCUAAUUCAAAACGAAAUGACAUCGUUGCGUUUGUUGAGAGUCUCCGAUUAGUAUAAAAGGCGGUUAACUUUGAAAUAUAACUCAAUGAUGUCUUAUUAAAACUUAAGUAAACCACUACAACAAUUAAGAUGACAUUAAAACGUUAAGAAAUAUAAUCGAAAAGGAAAAAAUUAAAAUUGUUGAAAUCCAGAAGACAAUUUAUUCUUUAGAAACUUUGAUGAACGCCAUGAGUUGUUAAUUUCAUUUCCAGUCAUUAGACAUAUUGGUUACCUUCAUUUAAACGUACGAAUGACUAAUAAACCUGUUAUAAUUAUCACUUGAUAAAUAAAUAUAAUAUUUGUAUGGAAAAACUGCUGGAAAUUCAUCAAAUAUACGCAGCUUAUCGCCCUUAUUAUAUUAAUUCGAAGCCAACUCAUGGACAUUGAUCUUCAGGUUGACUUGCCGCUGUGAAAUUUAAAAUCAAUAGUUAACUCAUUGUUCUCACUUUAAAAAUGAUCCUUUUAAGUAAGCAGUAGUUAGGUGUAUACAUAUAUGUUGAUUUUUUUUUUAUUUAUAAUAUUACUUUGUUGCCGAAUUCUAAUUGAGCGGCAAUAAUAAUGAAAGCAUGACUAAAAAAUAUUGAAGAGUAAAAUUAGAUAUUAGUCAGGGUUAACGUAAAAUGAUUGCGUUCAGAUUGCAUAUUAUUGCUCCGAACGUAGAAUAGAAAAAUCUACGAAAUGAUGACAAAAUAAGGUGAUAAGAAUAAAGCCAGCGCCUUAACGCAUAUCGCUUAAAAAGGUAGCAGUAAUCUUCUCCAAGAAUAAAUGAACGAAGAGAUUGUAGCAAUCACUCACAAAAUUCGAAACACAAUAACGAAACUACAUAAAAAUAGAGGUUUUUUUUUUUUGAAAUUUAAUAUGAGUGUACAGUUUGUAUGUGUUACGUAUUUUGAAAUUAUAACAUACAUUGAGCCUUGGGUCUUAUCUACGCUACUAUGUAUAUCAGGAACUUAAAGUGAAAAGUAAGAAGGAUAGAAAUUCAUCUUAAAGGUAAUAAGACUUCAACUUUUCCUUCAUUAACCUGCAGCACUUUUUUUUUACAAGUAAUUUAUAGUACAAAUUAAUGAAGAAAUUAUGUUAUGGAAACUUCAAAGUUAAGUCAUGUUAUAUAUGUAUAUAUGUAGAUAAAAUUAUCAAAAUUAUAAGCUAAUAAGAAAUUGGCGAGAUUGUGAAUGUAAUGAAGAAAGAAAAAACUUAUACUCUGCAUCAAAACUUUUUACAAAACUUUA
This is an RNA transcript of Ceratitis capitata (Mediterranean fruit fly), 2628 nucleotides long. RefSeq lists it as uncharacterized. Lineage: Eukaryota; Metazoa; Arthropoda; Insecta; Diptera; Tephritidae. The record is from RefSeq and is a predicted model, not a curated record. The transcript is spliced from 3 exons.